This 414-nucleotide ribosomal RNA is filed under the name uncultured bacterium. RNAcentral's name for it is "partial 16S ribosomal RNA". It matches the Rfam family "Bacterial small subunit ribosomal RNA", at positions 355 to 786 of the family's 1533-position model. The record is from RNAcentral.
UGGGGAAUAUUGGACAAUGGGGGCAACCCUGAUCCAGCAAUGCCGCGUGUGUGAAGAAGGUUUUCGGAUUGUAAAGCACUUUCGGCGGGGACGAUGAUGACGGUACCCGCAGAAGAAGCCCCGGCUAACUUCGUGCCAGCAGCCGCGGUAAUACGAAGGGGGCUAGCGUUGCUCGGAAUGACUGGGCGUAAAGGGCGUGUAGGCGGUUUGUACAGUCAGAUGUGAAAUCCCCGGGCUUAACCUGGGAGCUGCAUUUGAUACGUGCAGACUAGAGUGUGAGAGAGGGUUGUGGAAUUCCCAGUGUAGAGGUGAGAUUCGUAGAUAUUGGGAAGAACACCGGUGGCGAAGGCGGCAACCUGGCUCAUGACUGACGCUGAGGCGCGAAAGCGUGGGGAGCAAACAGGAUUAGAUACC